UCAAAUAAUCACUUUCUCUGGGGGUUCAGU
Molecule: non-coding RNA, 30 nt
Filed under: Rattus norvegicus (Norway rat)
Lineage: Eukaryota; Metazoa; Chordata; Mammalia; Rodentia; Muridae
Source: RNAcentral